This 482-nucleotide ribosomal RNA is filed under the name uncultured bacterium. RNAcentral describes it as "partial 16S ribosomal RNA". It matches the Rfam family "Bacterial small subunit ribosomal RNA", at positions 30 to 507 of the family's 1533-position model. The record is from RNAcentral.
AUUGAACGCUGGCGGCAUGCCUUACACAUGCAAGUCGAACGGUAACAGGUCUUCGGAUGCUGACGAGUGGCGCACGGGUGAGUAAUACAUCGCAACGUGCCCAGACGUGGGGGAUAACGAGGCGAAAGCUUUGCUAAUACCGCAUACGAUCUAAGGAUGAAAGCAGGGGACCGCAAGGCCUUGCGCGUUUGGAGCGGCCGAUGGCAGAUUAGGUAGUUGGUGGGAUAAAAGCUUACCAAGCCGACGAUCUGUAGCUGGUCUGAGAGGACGACCAGCCACACUGGGACUGAGACACGGCCCAGACUCCUACGGGAGGCAGCAGUGGGGAAUUUUGGACAAUGGGCGAAAGCCUGAUCCAGCAAUGCCGCGUGCAGGAUGAAGGCCUUCGGGUUGUAAACUGCUUUUGUACGGAACGAAAAGGCUCUGGCUAAUACCUGGGGCACAUGACGGUACCGUAAGAAUAAGCACCGGCUAACUACGUG